Non-coding RNA from Biomphalaria pfeifferi, 216 nucleotides. The record is from the annotation of a GenBank genome assembly. NCBI's taxonomy places the organism in Eukaryota, Metazoa, Mollusca, Gastropoda, Planorbidae.
AGAAAAGAAAAAAAAACUUAUAUUUAAUCAGAUUUUAUGCAAAAGUUUAACUCUUACAUUUCAUAUUUUAAAAAAAUUUACUAUAUCAAUGAGUUUGCGUUUUUUUUUAAAAUUGUGACUUCACAUAGCAACUGCACUGACCUAUGUUUCAAAAUUCAACUCUAUUACAUGCGUGAUCGUUGAAAGUAGGAGCUAUUUUAAACGGUUUAAUUUUUU